This 202-nucleotide long non-coding RNA is filed under the name Brassica rapa (field mustard). RNAcentral's name for it is "long non-coding RNA (BRAP_LNC003322)". The record is from RNAcentral. Lineage: Eukaryota; Viridiplantae; Streptophyta; Magnoliopsida; Brassicales; Brassicaceae.
GGAAACUUGACAUUUAUCCUUCCUCGUGGGCCAAGCGUGAACCACGCUGUGGUUCACGGGCUUUUGGUUAGGAAAAAUCGUAGGAUGGGUCUCGAGUCGUGUUUUAGGUCCCUUUGGGCCGUCUUCCGACUUGACACGUUUACUACGAGUUUUCCGCGGUUUCUAAUCCGCGAAGUUUGAUCAAUGAAUUAGAAUAGCAGGA